This 425-nucleotide ribosomal RNA is filed under the name uncultured bacterium. Its description in RNAcentral is "partial 16S ribosomal RNA". It matches the Rfam family "Bacterial small subunit ribosomal RNA", at positions 354 to 796 of the family's 1533-position model. The record is from RNAcentral.
GUAGGGAAUCUUGCGCAAUGGGCGAAAGCCUGACGCAGCCAUGCCGCGUGAAUGAUGAAGGUCUUAGGAUUGUAAAAUUCUUUCACCGGGGACGAUAAUGACGGUACCCGGAGAAGAAGCCCCGGCUAACUUCGUGCCAGCAGCCGCGGUAAUACGAAGGGGGCUAGCGUUGCUCGGAAUUACUGGGCGUAAAGGGAGCGUAGGCGGAUAGUUUAGUCAGAGGUGAAAGCCCAGGGCUCAACCUUGGAAUUGCCUUUGAUACUGGCUAUCUUGAGUAUUGAAGAGGUAAGUGGAACUCCGAGUGUAGAGGUGAAAUUCGUAGAUAUUCGGAAGAACACCAGUGGCGAAGGCGACAUGCUGGUCCAUUACUGACGCUGAGGCUCGAAAGCGUGGGGAGCAAACAGGAUUAGAAACCCUUGUAGUCC